UGGGGAAUUUUGGACAAUGGGCGAAAGCCUGAUCCAGCAAUGCCGCGUGUGUGAAGAAGGCCUUCGGGUUGUAAAGCACUUUUGUCCGGAAAGAAAUCCUUGGCUCUAAUACAGUCGGGGGAUGACGGUACCGGAAGAAUAAGCACCGGCUAACUACGUGCCAGCAGCCGCGGUAAUACGUAGGGUGCAAGCGUUAAUCGGAAUUACUGGGCGUAAAGCGUGCGCAGGCGGUUUGCUAAGACCGAUGUGAAAUCCCCGGGCUCAACCUGGGAACUGCAUUGGUGACUGGCAGGCUAGAGUAUGGCAGAGGGGGGUAGAAUUCCACGUGUAGCAGUGAAAUGCGUAGAGAUGUGGAGGAAUACCGAUGGCGAAGGCAGCCCCCUGGGCCAAUACUGACGCUCAUGCACGAAAGCGUGGGGGAGCAAACAGGAUUAGAUACCCUGGUAGUCCACGCCCUAAACGGUGUCAACUAGUUGUUGGGGAUUCAUUUUCCUUAGUAACGUAGCUAACGCGUGAAGUUGACCGCCUGGGGAGUACGGUCGCAAGAUUAAAACUUAAUGAAUUGACGGGGUCAUAGCUGUUUCCU
RNAcentral lists this ribosomal RNA (586 nucleotides) under uncultured bacterium. RNAcentral's name for it is "partial 16S ribosomal RNA". It matches the Rfam family "Bacterial small subunit ribosomal RNA", at positions 355 to 1375 of the family's 1533-position model. The record is from RNAcentral.